This 253-nucleotide ribosomal RNA is filed under the name uncultured bacterium. Its description in RNAcentral is "partial 16S ribosomal RNA". It matches the Rfam family "Bacterial small subunit ribosomal RNA", at positions 524 to 776 of the family's 1533-position model. The record is from RNAcentral.
GACAGAGGGUGCAAACGUUGUUCGGAAUUACUGGGCGUAAAGCGCGUGUAGGCGGCCCUGCAAGUCGGGUGUGAAAUCCCAUGGCUCAACUAUGGAAGUGCACUCGAAACUGCAGGGCUAGAGUCCUGGAGAGGAAGGUGGAAUGCUUGGUGUAGAGGUGAAAUUCGUAGAUAUCAAGCAGAACACCUGUGGCGAAGGCGGCCUGCUGGACGAUGACUGACGCUGAGACGCGAAAACGUGGAGAGCAAACGGG